ACACCUACGGGGGGCAGCAGUGAGGAAUAUUGGUCAAUGGCCGAGAGGCUGAACCAGCCAAGUCGCGUGAGGGAUGACGGCCCUACGGGUUGUAAACCUCUUUUGUCGGGGAGCAAGACCCGCCUCGUGCAGGCGGAGCGAGAGUACCCGAAGAAAAAGCAUCGGCUAACUCCGUGCCAGCAGCCGCGGUAAUACGGAGGAUGCGAGCGUUAUCCGGCUUUAUUGGGUUUAAAGGGUGCGCAGGCGGACCAUCAAGUCAGCGGUAAAAUGUCCGGGCUCAACCCGGGCCGGCCGUUGAAACUGGG
RNAcentral lists this ribosomal RNA (305 nucleotides) under uncultured bacterium. RNAcentral describes it as "bacterial SSU rRNA". It matches the Rfam family "Bacterial small subunit ribosomal RNA", at positions 335 to 637 of the family's 1533-position model. The record is from RNAcentral.